GGGUUGUGAGGUUAAGCGACUAAGCGUACACGGUGGAUGCCCUGGCAGUCAGAGGCGAUGAAGGACGUGCUAAUCUGCGAUAAGCGUCGGUAAGGUGAUAUGAACCGUUAUAACCGGCGAUUUCCGAAUGGGGAAACCCAGUGUGUUUCGACACACUAUCAUUAACUGAAUCCAUAGGUUAAUGAGGCGAACCGGGGGAACUGAAACAUCUAAGUACCCCGAGGAAAAGAAAUCAACCGAGAUUCCCCCAGUAGCGGCGAGCGAACGGGGAGCAGCCCAGAGCCUGAAUCAGUGUGUGUGUUAGUGGAAGCGUCUGGAAAGGCGCGCGAUACAGGGUGACAGCCCCGUACACAAAAAUGCACAUGCUGUGAGCUCGAUGAGUAGGGCGGGACACGUGGUAUCCUGUCUGAAUAUGGGGGGACCAUCCUCCAAGGCUAAAUACUCCUGACUGACCGAUAGUGAACCAGUACCGUGAGGGAAAGGCGAAAAGAACCCCGGCGAGGGGAGUGAAAAAGAACCUGAAACCGUGUACGUACAAGCAGUGGGAGCACGCUUAGGCGUGUGACUGCGUACCUUUUGUAUAAUGGGUCAGCGACUUAUAUUCUGUAGCAAGGUUAACCGAAUAGGGGAGCCGAAGGGAAACCGAGUCUUAACUGGGCGUUAAGUUGCAGGGUAUAGACCCGAAACCCGGUGAUCUAGCCAUGGGCAGGUUGAAGGUUGGGUAACACUAACUGGAGGACCGAACCGACUAAUGUUGAAAAAUUAGCGGAUGACUUGUGGCUGGGGGUGAAAGGCCAAUCAAACCGGGAGAUAGCUGGUUCUCCCCGAAAGCUAUUUAGGUAGCGCCUCGUGAAUUCAUCUCCGGGGGUAGAGCACUGUUUCGGCAAGGGGGUCAUCCCGACUUACCAACCCGAUGCAAACUGCGAAUACCGGAGAAUGUUAUCACGGGAGACACACGGCGGGUGCUAACGUCCGUCGUGAAGAGGGAAACAACCCAGACCGCCAGCUAAGGUCCCAAAGUCAUGGUUAAGUGGGAAACGAUGUGGGAAGGCCCAGACAGCCAGGAUGUUGGCUUAGAAGCAGCCAUCAUUUAAAGAAAGCGUAAUAGCUCACUGGUCGAGUCGGCCUGCGCGGAAGAUGUAACGGGGCUAAACCAUGCACCGAAGCUGCGGCAGCGACGCUUAUGCGUUGUUGGGUAGGGGAGCGUUCUGUAAGCCUGUGAAGGUGUGCUGUGAGGCAUGCUGGAGGUAUCAGAAGUGCGAAUGCUGACAUAAGUAACGAUAAAGCGGGUGAAAAGCCCGCUCGCCGGAAGACCAAGGGUUCCUGUCCAACGUUAAUCGGGGCAGGGUGAGUCGACCCCUAAGGCGAGGCCGAAAGGCGUAGUCGAUGGGAAACAGGUUAAUAUUCCUGUACUUGGUGUUACUGCGAAGGGGGGACGGAGAAGGCUAUGUUGGCCGGGCGACGGUUGUCCCGGUUUAAGCGUGUAGGCUGGUUUUCCAGGCAAAUCCGGAAAAUCAAGGCUGAGGCGUGAUGACGAGGCACUACGGUGCUGAAGCAACAAAUGCCCUGCUUCCAGGAAAAGCCUCUAAGCAUCAGGUAACAUCAAAUCGUACCCCAAACCGACACAGGUGGUCAGGUAGAGAAUACCAAGGCGCUUGAGAGAACUCGGGUGAAGGAACUAGGCAAAAUGGUGCCGUAACUUCGGGAGAAGGCACGCUGAUAUGUAGGUGAAGCGACUUGCUCGUGGAGCUGAAAUCAGUCGAAGAUACCAGCUGGCUGCAACUGUUUAUUAAAAACACAGCACUGUGCAAACACGAAAGUGGACGUAUACGGUGUGACGCCUGCCCGGUGCCGGAAGGUUAAUUGAUGGGGUUAGCGCAAGCGAAGCUCUUGAUCGAAGCCCCGGUAAACGGCGGCCGUAACUAUAACGGUCCUAAGGUAGCGAAAUUCCUUGUCGGGUAAGUUCCGACCUGCACGAAUGGCGUAAUGAUGGCCAGGCUGUCUCCACCCGAGACUCAGUGAAAUUGAACUCGCUGUGAAGAUGCAGUGUACCCGCGGCAAGACGGAAAGACCCCGUGAACCUUUACUAUAGCUUGACACUGAACAUUGAGCCUUGAUGUGUAGGAUAGGUGGGAGGCUUUGAAGUGUGGACGCCAGUCUGCAUGGAGCCGACCUUGAAAUACCACCCUUUAAUGUUUGAUGUUCUAACGUUGACCCGUAAUCCGGGUUGCGGACAGUGUCUGGUGGGUAGUUUGACUGGGGCGGUCUCCUCCUAAAGAGUAACGGAGGAGCACGAAGGUUGGCUAAUCCUGGUCGGACAUCAGGAGGUUAGUGCAAUGGCAUAAGCCAGCUUGACUGCGAGCGUGACGGCGCGAGCAGGUGCGAAAGCAGGUCAUAGUGAUCCGGUGGUUCUGAAUGGAAGGGCCAUCGCUCAACGGAUAAAAGGUACUCCGGGGAUAACAGGCUGAUACCGCCCAAGAGUUCAUAUCGACGGCGGUGUUUGGCACCUCGAUGUCGGCUCAUCACAUCCUGGGGCUGAAGUAGGUCCCAAGGGUAUGGCUGUUCGCCAUUUAAAGUGGUACGCGAGCUGGGUUUAGAACGUCGUGAGACAGUUCGGUCCCUAUCUGCCGUGGGCGCUGGAGAACUGAGGGGGGCUGCUCCUAGUACGAGAGGACCGGAGUGGACGCAUCACUGGUGUUCGGGUUGUCAUGCCAAUGGCACUGCCCGGUAGCUAAAUGCGGAAGAGAUAAGUGCUGAAAGCAUCUAAGCACGAAACUUGCCCCGAGAUGAGUUCUCCCUGAC
This 2802-nucleotide ribosomal RNA is filed under the name Escherichia coli. RNAcentral's name for it is "bacterial LSU rRNA". It matches the Rfam family "Bacterial large subunit ribosomal RNA". The record is from RNAcentral. Lineage: Bacteria; Pseudomonadati; Pseudomonadota; Gammaproteobacteria; Enterobacterales; Enterobacteriaceae.